RNAcentral lists this ribosomal RNA (497 nucleotides) under uncultured bacterium. RNAcentral describes it as "partial 16S ribosomal RNA". It matches the Rfam family "Bacterial small subunit ribosomal RNA", at positions 28 to 507 of the family's 1533-position model. The record is from RNAcentral.
GAUGAACGCUGGCGGCGUGCCUAAUACAUGCAAGUCGAGCGAACAGACGAGGAGCUUGCUCCUCUGACGUUAGCGGCGGACGGGUGAGUAACACGUGGAUAACCUAUCUAUAAGACUGGGAUAACUUCGGGAAACCGGAGCUAAUACCGGAUAAUAUAUUGAACCGCAUGGUUCAAUAGUGAAAGACGGUUUUGCUGUCACUUAUAGAUGGAUCCGCGCCGCAUUAGCUAGUUGGUAAGGUAACGGCUUACCAAGGCAACGAUGCGUAGCCGACCUGAGAGGGUGAUCGGCCACACUGGAACUGAGACACGGUCCAGACUCCUACGGGGGGCAGCAGUAGGGAAUCUUCCGCAAUGGGCGAAAGCCUGACGGAGCAACGCCGCGUGAGUGAUGAAGGUCUUCGGAUCGUAAAACUCUGUUAUUAGGGAAGAACAAAUGUGUAAGUAACUAUGCACGUCUUGACGGUACCUAAUCAGAAAGCCACGGCUAACUACGUG